GACGAACGCUGGCGGCGUGCUUAACACAUGCAAGUCGAACGGAAAGGCCUUUUCGGAGGUACUCGAGUGGCGAACGGGUGAGUAACACGUGGGUGAUCUGCCCUGCACUCUGGGAUAAGCCUGGGAAACUGGGUCUAAUACCGGAUAGGACCGCACCUUCGUGUGUGUGGUGGAAAGUUUUUUCGGUGUAGGAUGAGCCCGCGGCCUAUCAGCUUGUUGGUGGGGUAAUGGCCUACCAAGGCGGCGACGGGUAGCCGGACUGAGAGGUGGGUCGGCCACAUUGGGACUGAGAUACGGCCCAGACUCCUACGGGAGGCAGGAGUGGGGAAGAUUGCACAAUGGGCGCAAGCCUGAUGCAGCGACGCCGCGUGGGGGAUGACUGCCUUCGGGUUGGAAACUCCGUUCGCCAGGGACGAAGCGUUUUGUGACGGUACCUGAAGAAGAAGCACCGGCUAACUACGUG
RNAcentral lists this ribosomal RNA (463 nucleotides) under uncultured bacterium. RNAcentral's name for it is "partial 16S ribosomal RNA". It matches the Rfam family "Bacterial small subunit ribosomal RNA", at positions 28 to 507 of the family's 1533-position model. The record is from RNAcentral.